RNAcentral lists this ribosomal RNA (778 nucleotides) under uncultured Neocallimastigales. RNAcentral's name for it is "partial large subunit ribosomal RNA". It matches the Rfam family "Eukaryotic large subunit ribosomal RNA", at positions 22 to 642 of the family's 3401-position model. Lineage: Eukaryota; Fungi; Neocallimastigomycota; Neocallimastigomycetes; Neocallimastigales. The record is from RNAcentral.
CUAUACAUGACUCUGCGCAUAUCAAUAAGCGGAGGAAAAGAAACUAACAAGGAUUCCCCUUAGUAACGGCGAGUGAAGCGGGAAGAGCUCAAAUUCGAAAUCUUCAAGGGUCUUACCUUUACGAAUUGUAGUUUAAAGAAGUGUUUUCUGUUGGAGUUUCGGUAAAAGUUCUUUGGAAUAGGACAUCAUAGAGGGUGAGAAUCCCGUAUUUGACCAGUUACUUUCCAGCUGUGUGAUACACUUUCAAAGAGUCGGAUUGUUUGGGAAUGCAGUCCAGAAUGGGUGGUAAAUUUCAUCUAAAGCUAAAUAUUGGCGAGAGACCGAUAGCGAACAAGUACCGUGAGGGAAAGAUGAAAAGAACUUUGAAAAGAGAGUUAAACAGUACGUGAAAUUGUCAAAAGGGAAGCGUUUGACACCAGUGUUGUUUAGUUGAAAAUCAAUUCAAUAAUUUUUGAUUUUAAGUAGUAUUGACUUCAUCAGCUUGCUGCUUUCUUUUCAGGAAUUAUUGAAUGCACUUUUCAGUUAACAAGUCAACAUCAAUUUCUUUUGUUGUAAAAGGGUAAGAGGAAGGUGGCUUACGCUUCAGCGUAAGUGUUUAUAGCCUUUUACCUCUGCAAUCGGAGAGAUUGAGGACAGCAGCGUAGACUCUUCGGGGUUAGAUACACUUGUGCUAAGCUAUAGCCUUGUAUAGACAACUUGUUGACUAUGCUCAGUCAUGUAGCUUACUCGCUUGUGCUAUUUUACCUACGCUUAGGAUGUUGACACACGCGCGUGCUCG